Molecule: non-coding RNA, 104 nt
Submitted as: unclassified sequences
Source: Rfam
UAGCGCCUGUGGCGGGUCCGGCACGGAUCAUUAUAGGCUUCGCAGGCAGCCGGUCCGUGUACGAUCUCGUACAUCCAAGAAAUUUCUUGGAUUUAAUGAUUUCU